RNAcentral lists this long non-coding RNA (2746 nucleotides) under Lynx pardinus (Iberian lynx). The record is from RNAcentral. Lineage: Eukaryota; Metazoa; Chordata; Mammalia; Carnivora; Felidae.
GGUAGAACGAGUUUGCUCUGGGAAGGUAAAAAGUGGCUUCCUGCCUUGGGAAUCCUGUUCUUUCUCCUCUCCCCGCUCAUUGCCACACUCGUGGGAACAGGUGCGCACCCUCAAGUACACUGUUUUAUGCUUGACAGGCAGCAAAAGAGAACUGGGGGACAACUGUGAGGCACCUAGGUGUGGGAAAGGGGCAAAGGACCCCAAAUGGGACAUGCUGAAGAAGAAUGUAGAUGUUUGUGAUGGAAUGUGUGGACAAAGAAGCUCACAGAAGAGUAAGACUUUCAGGAAUUGUUACAAACACUGUUGUAAGAAAAGAUGCAUCAGACAGUGGGGAUAAUUUUCUUUCUUUGAGCACAUUUAAUGCCAACCGUACUUUUACCAUAGUAAUCAGUAAAGAAUUGUGUUUCUCCCUCCUGCCUUGAUUUCUGUGAUCUGCACCUUCCUUCACUUUGUGGAAACCUCAGGGUUCAUUUUCAUUGUUCUUUACAUUUCAGCGCCAUCGUAGCAACAUGACUGCCAUAUGUAUAUAUUUUGUUGUUAAACUCUAGACAUUGGGUAGGAAAUAUUGGGAGAAUUCAUGUGUCCUGGGAUGGUAUCUUGCUGCAGAUGAGAUGGGAGUUUAUGUCUGGUAGGAGAUCAGAGGUGCUGGCAUUACUGUGAAUUCAGUUUUCCUUCCUUUCUCUCUUUUCCCUUCCCUUCCCUUCCCUUCCCCAUAUUCCUUUUCCAGGAGACAAUAUUCUGAAAGUGGGAAAUUCACAUCAUUUUCUUUUUGUCAGUGUAUUUUGCAUUCUUCUCAACUGAUGUCUUUGAGUCAGGUGGCAGGAGUUCCCUCAUGAAAUGUAGAAAUGUCCAGUAGGUCAUUGUACAGUGUUAAUAACACCAUGUCCAAGAAAGAUGUCUCUAUGGCAUUGUCAUGGCCCGAGCCUUGAUUGAGAGUUCAGGGCUCUUGGGAGAAAUCAGACAAGUCAGGAACCCCUGCACCAUCCUUGUGUGUUUAGUUGUGAAGAGUUGGUCAGGCUUGGUUUUGUACACUGAAAAGAUAUAUGCUUAUGCUGUCCCAAUCACAAGAGCCUGAGUGCACCCCGUGUGGGCUUUUUAUAUUUAUGUGAUGUAUUGAUGAGUAGGAAUAGAGAGCUAUGAAGAGAAGCUCAGAGUUGCCAGAGACUUUCCAGCAUUCUGGAGUUUCCAUGUGUUUAGUCCCUGAAUAGGGGGCAUCAAUGCUUUCCCCUGGUUGUGUUUGUGGAUCUGUGCAUUUACGGGGAAUGGGAGAGUGCACAUUUGAGACCUGCCUUCAGAUUUCAGGGAGGGAAGAAAGACAGAAUUUCACAUGGGCUACCAGGUAAUCUAUGUUUCUUUCCCUUUGAUGAAGCUGUGACUGAAAGAAUGGGAGCAGGUGAAAGGGGAGAAGCAGCUGUUGGCCACAGAGGAGAAACUGAAAUUAGCUGCAGAAGAGCUGUGGAACUACAAGUGAGUUCAGCUCCUACCAGCAUCUCACACUACACCCAUUGUAUUACUUUGAAACUUUGUAUAGUUAGACCCAAGUAGCACACAAAUAUACACAAAUAUUCAGGAGACAUUUAUUUAUAUAGACACUUCAAGAGAAAUGUGACAUUUUCCAGAUGUUAAAUUAAAAAUAUUAAUCUAAACAGGUUAAGUCACUAAAGAUUUCCUGAUCCCCGGUGCUGGCCAGGCUAUGUGGAAAUGUGGUUCCUGAACAUAUUUCUGGAGGUGCUGGAAAUGAUUACAAACCUCAGGAAGCAGUUUGGUGGAGGAUGAAUCACAUUGACAAGUAUGACCAUCCCGUUUGAGAGACCCACUUGUUGUAACCAUGAGAAAUAAUGAUGAAGAUACAAAGAAAAGAUUUGAACUUUACAAUGAAAGAUCCUCAUUGCAGAAUUAGGGAGCUGUCACCACAGUCAAGGAGACUGUGUCAAUGUGGAGCCCCACAGGCAUCAAAUAAUAAAUCCAAGAUGAUGUAGCGAUGGCUUUGAGCUUUCUGUACUCUCCUCCUCAUGUGAAAUGUGUCUUAUAUGAUUGGGUUGUGUGUAUAAGAGUUCAGUUACUAUACUGGGAACCUGGGCCAAUUAACAGCACCCUCAACAUGGUGCUUCAUCUGAUGAAAGCCAUUGCACGCCCAGGAGAAGAGUAGAAGAAACACAAGAACAGCUGCAGCAGUCAGAGCUCACCUUCGGACAUCAGGUAUCUGCACUCUGCCCAGUAGUUCAUGAGUGCUUCAGCACCUAAUGCAGAUGGUCAUAAUGGGCCACUGAAUCUCUCCACAUGGGUUUUUAUUGAUGUGCUGACUCUUUCAGAUGGCUCUUGGUGAGAAGGUGACUCAGGACAACUGGGUAAGAAUGUUUUUCUCUCCUCCUCUUGUGCACACCCUGCCACAGCUGAACGUGGAUGUGUUUCUCUCUCCCACCUCAGGGCUCAUGAUCAGGAGAGGGCGGUGGCAGAGCAGAGCAGGGAGGUGGCCUACUUGAAGUGCACGUACAGGAUUUUGACAUAUUUAUUUUAAGGGUGCUGUGAGGUUUUUAAAAAGGCUAAACUGUUCGGUGUCCAGUGGAGGCCUGGGUGUGGUAACUCUUAGUGAAACUGAUUCAUCUCGAUCUUCAAGACUGGAAGUCAUCCAAAGACAGAGGCUUCCAGAGGAAUUCAGGAGGCACAAACCAAUGGCAAGAGGACCUGACAGGGAGAUCCCUCCAUGGAGAGGUAUGGAGCACAUUGUGAAAUGCAGUAGUUUAAC